GAUGAACGCUGGCGGCGUGCUUAACACAUGCAAGUCGAACGGUGAAGGCGGAGCUUGCUCUGCUGGAUCAGUGGCGAACGGGUGAGUAACACGUGAGCAAUCUGCCCCUGACUCUGGGAUAAGCGCUGGAAACGGCGUCUAAUACUGGAUACGAGCUGCGAAGGCAUCUUCAGCAGCUGGAAAGAACUUCGGUCAGGGAUGAGCUCGCGGCCUAUCAGCUUGUUGGUGAGGUAACGGCUCACCAAGGCGUCGACGGGUAGCCGGCCUGAGAGGGUGACCGGCCACACUGGGACUGAGACACGGCCCAGACUCCUACGGGAGGCAGCAGUGGGGAAUAUUGCACAAUGGGCGAAAGCCUGAUGCAGCAACGCCGCGUGAGGGAAGACGGCCUUCGGGUUGUAAACCUCUUUUAGCAGGGAAGAAGCGAAAGUGACGGUACCUGAAGAAAAAGCGCCGGCUAACUACGUG
This 468-nucleotide ribosomal RNA is filed under the name uncultured bacterium. RNAcentral's name for it is "partial 16S ribosomal RNA". It matches the Rfam family "Bacterial small subunit ribosomal RNA", at positions 28 to 507 of the family's 1533-position model. The record is from RNAcentral.